This 253-nucleotide ribosomal RNA is filed under the name uncultured bacterium. RNAcentral describes it as "partial 16S ribosomal RNA". It matches the Rfam family "Bacterial small subunit ribosomal RNA", at positions 524 to 776 of the family's 1533-position model. The record is from RNAcentral.
UACAGAGGUCUCAAGCGUUGUUCGGAAUUACUGGGCGUAAAGCGCACGUAGGUGGCGACGUAAGUCGGGUGUGAAAGCCCCGGGCUCAACCUGGGAAUUGCAUUCGAGACUGCAUUGCUGGAGUACGGAAGAGGAAGGCGGAAUUCCCGGUGUAGCGGUGAAAUGCGUAGAUAUCGGGAGGAACAUCAGUGGCGAAGGCGGCCUUCUGGUCCAGUACUGACACUCAAGUGCGAAAGCGUGGGGAGCAAACAGG